Long non-coding RNA from Beta vulgaris subsp. vulgaris (sugar beet), 1537 nucleotides. RefSeq lists it as uncharacterized. The transcript is spliced from 2 exons. The record is from RefSeq and is a predicted model, not a curated record. NCBI's taxonomy places the organism in Eukaryota, Viridiplantae, Streptophyta, Magnoliopsida, Caryophyllales, Amaranthaceae.
UGUAACUAUCUUUGUCAGUUCAAUGGGAAUGAACCAAAACUACCUCAUCUCAAAAACCUCUCUCUGCCUCAUCACCUUUCAAACCCCAAAAGGGUUCCAUUUUUGUCGCACCUCCCCGUCUCUUUCUUUCGCUCCCCUUCGCCGAUAAUUGCCUAAGCUCGCCGGAGCUCUGUCGUGGGUCGUUCGUGUCGACUCAUCUCUCUCUCCUCUGUUCGUAUUCUGCCACCGCGGUGCUGCUCGCGAGCCACCGCGGUGCUGUUGCCCCUAUGUUUCUCUCCUCCUGCGUGCUAUAACCACCGGAGUUGCGCUGCCUUGCUCACCGAUGACUGAACACCUCUUCUCUCUCUCUAUCGCACGUUGUUGUUGCGACGGUGCUGCUUGUUGCCGCGCUGUGUUCUUCCCCCUGUUCGUGCUUAUUGAUGUUGCGGUUGUUGUUGUGGUUGGUGUGUUACUGCCGCCGUCGAUCUUGUCUGCGUUGCCUUCGUCGCCGCCUCGAUUUGCUGGUGGUUCACAUAAUAUCGAAGAUUUUGCAAAAACUGGACUUCAGUUGAAUUUCUAAAUAAGAGAGAGAAUUCAAAUGUUGUUUGAAUCUUCUUCCUCGUGCACGAUAGAGGAUCCGAGGAACUGGAUUUGAAUUUUUCCAACUUUAGAAAUUUUGCAAUUCAAAUCAUGAAUAUAUAAAUUAUACUUCAAUUGGGUUUCUGACAACCACGGUCGUAAUGAGAGGAUUGUACCAACUGCUAACUACAUAUACACUCAUGAAGUUAACUCUGAAGCUUCAAGUCUUAUGGAUGAUAAACUUAUACACCAAGAUUUUGAAACAAGAAGUGGAUUGCUAGAGAGUGACACAAAUUGCAAAGAAGAUGAUGUCAAUAGUGCGCGUGCUCGCAAUUCAUUCUCUAUGGCAAGAACAUCUUCAGCACAUCCUCCUCUAUACUCAAAUUGCCAGCAUAAAACACCAGCAUUUGAAAAACCUCUAAGACGACGUUUAACUUAUGAGGAGUUGGAGGUAGCAACCAAUGGAUUUUCAAAUGAUAAUUUCUUGGCUAAAGGUGGAUUUGGUAUUGUCAACAUAGGAGUUUUAAGGGAUGGGCAGGUUGUUGCAGUGAAACAAUUGAAGUUUGUGGAUUCUUAAGGGGACACUGAUUUCUGUGGGGAAGUGCGGGUAUUGAGUUGUGCACAGCACAGGAACGUUGUGUUGCUCAUUGGAUUUUGUGUCGAGGGAAAGAAAAGAGUGCUGGUUUAUGAGUAUAUUUGUAAUCGCUCCUUGGAUUUCCAUUUACAUGGUAUAACCUCCUAUUAUGAUAUCUGCUGUAGUAUGGUCUGUUUGAUAGGAGUAAUGUAUUUUGCAUCACAGGUGCCUUUGAAGCUUUUGUGUAUAUUGAUUGAAAUUUUAGGAGCUAUAUUCUUAAGUUUAUGUACAUGAAUUGGAAGGAACAGGCCUAGGUACUCUAUUAUUUUUUUUUUAUUGAUAUGCAUGUGAUUUUGUAGUGAAUGAUAUUGAAUGAAUAAAAAGGUUAUUCCAAUUAUAAAGUCA